UACGUAGGUGGCAAGCGUUGUCCGGAAUUAUUGGGCGUAAAGCGCGCGCAGGCGGUCCUUUAAGUCUGAUGUGAAAGCCCACGGCUCAACCGUGGAGGGUCAUUGGAAACUGGGGGACUUGAGUGCAGGAGAGAAACGCGGAAUUCCAGGUGUAGCGGUGAAAUGCGUAGAUAUCUGGAGGAACACCGGUGGCGAAGGCGGCGUUCUGGACUGCAACUGACACUGAAAAACGAAAGCCAGGGGAGCAAACGGG
RNAcentral lists this ribosomal RNA (253 nucleotides) under uncultured bacterium. Its description in RNAcentral is "partial 16S ribosomal RNA". It matches the Rfam family "Bacterial small subunit ribosomal RNA", at positions 524 to 776 of the family's 1533-position model. The record is from RNAcentral.